UCAGUGAGGCCUUCGGACUGGCCCAGGGAGGUCGGCAACGACCACCCAGGGCCGGAAAGUUGGUCAAACUCGGUCAUUUAGAGGAAGUAAAAGUCGUAACAAGGUCUCCGUAGGUGAACCUGCGGAGGGAUCAUUA
RNAcentral lists this ribosomal RNA (136 nucleotides) under Brunneosphaerella jonkershoekensis. Its description in RNAcentral is "partial 18S ribosomal RNA". It matches the Rfam family "Eukaryotic small subunit ribosomal RNA", at positions 1698 to 1831 of the family's 1831-position model. The record is from RNAcentral. Lineage: Eukaryota; Fungi; Ascomycota; Dothideomycetes; Mycosphaerellales; Mycosphaerellaceae.